CAUUUCCAGAAUCAUCGGGCGACUUUUUUUUAAUAAGCAUUUUGAAAUCUAAUCGUAAAUCCCCCCAAAAAAAUUAUGGCACUUCAAAUUAUGUAUUACAGAACUGCACUCGAAAUUGUUUUUCGUCAAGCAAUGGUUUAUCAUUGCUUACAGAUAUAAAUGAAAUAACCUUAUGUAACCUAACUUACCAAAUUCUCACCUACAACAGUGGCCGCUCCCAUCCCCAGUAUCGGCUCUUUUUAUAUUUAAUUUUAAAUGAACAAUUGUACAUUAUAAUUUUUAGCUUAUUUUCAAAAUGAUAUUGAAUUGGAGAUCACUUAUUUAUAACAAAAAUCCAUAUAAUUACA
Cinara cedri is the source of this 347-nucleotide non-coding RNA. The record is from the annotation of a GenBank genome assembly. NCBI's taxonomy places the organism in Eukaryota, Metazoa, Arthropoda, Insecta, Hemiptera, Aphididae.